Molecule: transfer RNA, 103 nt
Filed under: Bryum dyffrynense
Lineage: Eukaryota; Viridiplantae; Streptophyta; Bryopsida; Bryales; Bryaceae
Description: partial tRNA-Phe
Rfam family: tRNA (bases 2-73)
About the family: Transfer RNA (tRNA) molecules are approximately 80 nucleotides in length.
Source: RNAcentral
AGCCGGAAUAGCUCAGUUGGUAGAGCAGAGGACUGAAAAUCCUCGUGUCACCAGUUAAAAUAGGUCCCCAGUUCAAAUCGGUGAUUCGGGUGCAUAGCAAAUA